GAGGCGAACCGGGGGAACUGAAACAUCUAAGUACCCCGAGGAAAAGAAAUCAACCGAGAUUCCGAAAGUAGCGGCGAGCGAAAUUGGACUAGCCCUUAAGCUUUACACGCGUUAGACGAACGGUCUGGAAAGUCCGACGAUACAGGGUGAUAGUCCCGUAGUUGACGACGUGUGUUCAGUGAAAUCGAGUAGGGCGGGACACGUGAUAUCCUGUCUGAAUAUGGGGGGACCAUCCUCCAAGGCUAAAUACUACUGACUGACCGAUAGUGAACCAGUACCGUGAGGGAAAGGCGAAAAGAACCCCUGUGAGGGGAGUGAAAUAGAACCUGAAACCGUGUACGUACAAGCAGUAGGAGCAGGCUUUGUCCUGUGACUGCGUACCUUUUGUAUAAUGGGUCAGCGACUUAUAUUCAGUGGCAAGGUUAACCAUCUAGGGGAGCCGUAGGGAAACCGAGUCUUAACUGGGCGUUCAGUCUCUGGAUAUAGACCCGAAACCAGGUGAUCUAGCCAUGGGCAGGUUGAAGGUUGAGUAACAUCAACUGGAGGACCGAACCGACUAAUGUUGAAAAAUUAGCGGAUGACUUGUGGCUAGGGGUGAAAGGCCAAUCAAACCUGGAGAUAGCUGGUUCUCCCCGAAAGCUAUUUAGGUAGCGCCUCGGACGAAUACUACUGGGGGUAGAGCACUGUUAAGGCUAGGGGGUCAUCCCGACUUACCAACCCUUUGCAAACUCCGAAUACCAGUAAGUACUAUCCGGGAGACACACGGCGGGUGCUAACGUCCGUCGUGGAGAGGGAAACAACCCAGACCGCCAGCUAAGGUCCCAAAUUACUACUAAGUGGGAAACGAUGUGGGAAGGCUCAGACAGCCAGGAUGUUGGCUUAGAAGCAGCCAUCAUUUAAAGAAAGCGUAAUAGCUCACUGGUCGAGUCGGCCUGCGCGGAAGAUGUAACGGGGCUAAGUAGUAAACCGAAGCUGCGGCAAUGCACUUUUGUGCAUUGGGUAGGGGAGCGUUCUGUAAGCCGUUGAAGGUGUGUUGUAAAGCAUGCUGGAGGUAUCAGAAGUGCGAAUGCUGACAUGAGUAACGAUAAAGGGGGUGAAAA
Molecule: ribosomal RNA, 1100 nt
Filed under: Vibrio parahaemolyticus
Lineage: Bacteria; Pseudomonadati; Pseudomonadota; Gammaproteobacteria; Vibrionales; Vibrionaceae
Description: partial 23S ribosomal RNA
Rfam family: Bacterial large subunit ribosomal RNA
Source: RNAcentral